UACGGAGGAUGCAGGCGUUAUCCGGAUUUAUUGGGUUUAAAGGGUGCGUAGGCGGAUUAAUAAGUCAGUGGUGAAAUCCCUCAGCUUAACUGAGGAACUGCCAUUGAUACUGUUAGUCUUGAGUAUAGUUGAGGUGGGCGGAAUGUGUCAUGUAGCGGUGAAAUGCAUAGAUAUGACACAGAACACCGAUUGCGUAGGCAGCUCACUAAACUAUCACUGACGCUGAUGCACGAAAGCGUGGGUAGCGAACAGG
Molecule: ribosomal RNA, 253 nt
Filed under: uncultured bacterium
Lineage: Bacteria
Description: partial 16S ribosomal RNA
Rfam family: Bacterial small subunit ribosomal RNA
Source: RNAcentral